GGGCCGUUAGCUCAGUUGGUAGAGCAUCGGACUUUUAAUCCGCAGGUCGCUGGUUCAAAUCCAGCACGGCUCACCA
Molecule: transfer RNA, 76 nt
Filed under: Acidobacteriota bacterium
Lineage: Bacteria; Pseudomonadati; Acidobacteriota
Also listed under: 2 other names
Description: tRNA-Lys
Rfam family: tRNA
About the family: Transfer RNA (tRNA) molecules are approximately 80 nucleotides in length. Their secondary structure includes four short double-helical elements and three loops (D, anti-codon, and T loops).
Source: RNAcentral